Molecule: unclassified non-coding RNA, 205 nt
Filed under: uncultured fungus
Lineage: Eukaryota; Fungi
Description: sequence contains ITS1
Source: RNAcentral
UUGAUUCAUUUGUUUUGUUACUCAGAAGGAAAUUCCACUAAAGCGAAAGCAAGAGUUUGGGUCCCCCGGCGGGCGCCUGGUUCCGAGCCGUCCCCCUGGGGGUCGGGCGCCGGGGCGGUCCGCCGAAGCAACGUGUGGUAUGUUCGCAGGGGUUUGGGAGUUGUAUAACUCGGUAAUGAUCCCUCCGCUGGUUCACCAACGGAGA